UACGUAGGGGGCGAGCGUUGUCCGGAUUUAUUGGGCGUAAAGAGCGUGUAGGCGGCCAGGCAGGUCUGCUGUGAAAACUCGAGGCUCAACCUCGAGACGUCGGCGGAAACCGUCUGGCUAGAGUCCGGAAGAGGAGAGUGGAAUUCCUGGUGUAGCGGUGAAAUGCGCAGAUAUCAGGAAGAACACCCGUGGCGAAGGCGGCUCUCUGGGACGGUACUGACGCUGAGACGCGAAAGCGUGGGGAGCGAACAGG
Molecule: ribosomal RNA, 253 nt
Filed under: uncultured bacterium
Lineage: Bacteria
Description: partial 16S ribosomal RNA
Rfam family: Bacterial small subunit ribosomal RNA
Source: RNAcentral